AGUGUGAAGAUUGAAAGUUUUUUUUGUGAAAGGUAAAUACGAAUACGUACUCAAAAGUGCGGAUUUUAUUGUUGGAAAAGAAUAAAAUCCUUCGGUGGCACGCGGGGUAAUGUAACGAUGCACGUUACUAUAGGUAUUAAAUUAAUCGUAAUCUCAAUCUCAUCUAAUACUUUAAAUAAUAAAUAUUAUAGGUCUUAAACCAAUAUGUUAAUUUGUUUUAAAUAAUGCAACAUAAUGCGCGCGAGUGUACUCUCGGCCGAACUACUUGCGUCAGCAGUUUUACUCUCGCGAACAUUCUUAUAGCGCUGGCCAUAUAUCUCCGCUCCUCACUCUGCGCGCAAUCGUCUUAAAGGACGGACGUUGCCGGUCGCGUUCACGAGCCUUGUGCCGUGUCGUCUCACGCGCCGGUUCGAUUUCAAGUAAUAUAGUUUAAUCGGCAGUGUUCGCCGUGGACAAUUUAAUUCUUUUUUCUAAAUACUUAAUUCGCAGUAAUGAGCUACCUAACGAACUAGUCAAAUAACGUAUUUUCCGUUGUGCACCCCGGUUAAGGGGUGCAUUUGUACGGCGUAAGCCUACGGCGGCGGCAGGAAGGACCUGCUGAUCCGGCCGCAGAGUGGGAAGCCAGCCAGAGUCUACCUCGAUUCACCCACCAGCUGACCUCGGCGCUUCCCGAGACGUCCCGACGACCGACCCGGGCCCUGCUCAUUCACCUUGCCACGUCAGGGGAGUACCCUACUACGUCAGUGAAAGCAGACAGGCUUAUUAAUAACCUAACGGACCUUACCACGACCCCCGCUCAGUUUUUUUUCCCAUUAUUUUUUUUUUGUUAAAAUAUAAUUAGUAAUUUGUAA
This is a long non-coding RNA of Cydia pomonella (codling moth), 851 nucleotides long. RefSeq lists it as uncharacterized. The record is from RefSeq and is a predicted model, not a curated record. NCBI's taxonomy places the organism in Eukaryota, Metazoa, Arthropoda, Insecta, Lepidoptera, Tortricidae. The transcript is spliced from 2 exons.